Molecule: ribosomal RNA, 253 nt
Filed under: uncultured bacterium
Lineage: Bacteria
Description: partial 16S ribosomal RNA
Rfam family: Bacterial small subunit ribosomal RNA
Source: RNAcentral
UACAGAGGGUGCAAGCGUUGUUCGGAAUUAUUGGGCGUAAAGGGAGUGUAGGCUGUGAGGUAAGUCGGGUGUGAAAUCUCGGAGCUUAACUCCGAAACUGCAUUCGAUACUGCCGUGCUUGAGGACUGGAGAGGAGACUGGAAUUUACGGUGUAGCGGUGAAAUGCGUAGAUAUCGUAAGGAAGACCAGUGGCGAAGGCGGGUCUCUGGACAGUUCCUGACGCUGAGGCACGAAGGCCAGGGGAGCAAACGGG